Molecule: long non-coding RNA, 284 nt
Filed under: Prunus persica (peach)
Lineage: Eukaryota; Viridiplantae; Streptophyta; Magnoliopsida; Rosales; Rosaceae
Description: long non-coding RNA (PPER_LNC005988)
Source: RNAcentral
UUUGGCAGUUGGGAGCUUCGGCAAGUGUCUGGCACCUCAGAAGUGUGUCUUCCUUCGACAGGGGAGAAGGCGUGGCUGCCUUAGUGCUAGUCGCUUUGAUGCUGGGUCUGCUCGGUUCACUAUGGUGUAAACAGUAGUCCCCCAAGUUCGCGGUUGAGAAGUAACUUCUGGGUUGGGAACUUGUGAGUUUUUGUAAUUGUAACCGAGCAUUCCAGCUUCAUUGAGAGCCGUAGGGCACUCCCUAGUCCCCCAAGUUGGCAAGCUAGGAGUUGCAUCAUCGAGCC